GACGAACGCUGGCGGCGUGCCUAAUACAUGCAAGUAGAACGCUGAAGAGAGGAGCUUGCUCUUCUUGGAUGAGUUGCGAACGGGUGAGUAACGCGUAGGUAACCUGCCUGGUAGCGGGGGAUAACUAUUGGAAACGAUAGCUAAUACCGCAUAAAAUGGAUUAUCGCAUGAUAAUCCAUUGAAAGGUGCAAAUGCAUCACUACCAGAUGGACCUGCGUUGUAUUAGCUAGUUGGUGGGGUAACGGCUCACCAAGGCGACGAUACAUAGCCGACCUGAGAGGGUGAGCGGCCACACUGGGACGGAGACACGGCCCAGACUCCGACGGGAGGCAGCAGUAGGGAAUCUUCGGCAAUGGACGGAAGUCUGACCGAGCAACGCCGCGUGAGUGAAGAAGGUUUUCGGAUCGUAAAGCUCUGUUGUAAGAGAAGAACGAGUGUGACAGUGGAAAGUUCACACUGUGACGGUAUCUUACCAGAAAGGGACGGCUAACUACGUG
This 497-nucleotide ribosomal RNA is filed under the name uncultured bacterium. Its description in RNAcentral is "partial 16S ribosomal RNA". It matches the Rfam family "Bacterial small subunit ribosomal RNA", at positions 28 to 507 of the family's 1533-position model. The record is from RNAcentral.